This 492-nucleotide ribosomal RNA is filed under the name uncultured bacterium. RNAcentral's name for it is "partial 16S ribosomal RNA". It matches the Rfam family "Bacterial small subunit ribosomal RNA", at positions 29 to 507 of the family's 1533-position model. The record is from RNAcentral.
AGUGAACGCUGGCGGUAGGCCUAACACAUGCAAGUCGAACGGCAGCACAGUAAGAGCUUGCUCUUACGGGUGGCGAGUGGCGGACGGGUGAGGAAUACAUCGGAAUCUACUUUUUCGUGGGGGAUAACGUAGGGAAACUUACGCUAAUACCGCAUACGACCUACGGGUGAAAGCAGGGGAUCUUCGGACCUUGCGCGAUUGAAUGAGCCGAUGUCGGAUUAGCUAGUUGGCGGGGUAAAGGCCCACCAAGGCGACGAUCCGUAGCUGGUCUGAGAGGAUGAUCAGCCACACUGAAACUGAGACACGGUCCAGACUCCUACGGGAGGCAGAAGUGGGGAAUAUUGGACAAUGGGCGCAAGCCUGAUCCAGCCAUACCGCGUGGGUGAAGAAGGCCUUCGGGUUGUAAAGCCCUUUUGUUGGGAAAGAAAAGCAGCAGGUUAAUACCCCGCUGUUCUGACGGUACCCAAAGAAUAAGCACCGGCUAACUUCGUG